RNAcentral lists this long non-coding RNA (331 nucleotides) under Gallus gallus (chicken). Lineage: Eukaryota; Metazoa; Chordata; Aves; Galliformes; Phasianidae. The record is from RNAcentral.
AAUUAAAGGAAAUGUUGCUAUGUAAUGCAAUGCCUCAUGAUUCUGAUAUGCAUUAGUGGAUUUGUAUCCUUUCAAACAUAUAUUUACUCACCAAAAUCUAACUGACUUGUUCUCCUAUCUGCCUCUGCUUUUGUUUUAAAAGUUCUGUGGUAUUUGAGAGUUCUAAAAACAAGGUUCCUGUAGCAUGAACCACUAUUCCUGCUAAGCUUUUUUCUCCUUUAAUUGUCUGUGACCUUGUCUUUAGAAAGAUUUAAUUAGAAGCUUGCAGUGACCAAGGCCAAUUUGAUGGGCUUUGUGUUAAAUGCAAACUGCAAACAGAAAGCUGAGUUCC